RNAcentral lists this long non-coding RNA (1568 nucleotides) under Capsicum annuum. Its description in RNAcentral is "long non-coding RNA (CANN_LNC014391)". The record is from RNAcentral. Lineage: Eukaryota; Viridiplantae; Streptophyta; Magnoliopsida; Solanales; Solanaceae.
UUCGGAGUGCCAGGAAUAAGAGAUCAGUAACACAUGCUACAUUUCUCAUUUCCCCUAAUAUCUUUAUGUUUAUAACAUUUUCAUCAACGAAUUUAUUUUUAACAUGAUGAGAGAAUGAAACACCAUGAAAACGGGAAGUCGUUUAGUUGGUGUUUAAAAGCAAUGUUAGAUGCUUGCUGCACAAAGCUUCAUUUGCUUCUACCUUAAGGCAAAGACUUGUUGAUUCUGCAGAACACCUUUAUGAGGCAAUAACUACUUAAAAAUACAUUGAUACCAUCUUGAAUUAUGGUUUUUGUUGUUCUUGUAAUAAAUUGUAGUGUUGAGGGUCUAUUGAAAACAACCUCUUUACCCCAGCAGAGAGGUGAGGUAACUAGGUAAGGUCUACGUAUAUCCAUCCUUUCGGAAUCCACUUGUGGAACUAUACUGAGUAUGUUGUUGUUCUUCCUAUAAUAAAUUGUAGUGUUGAGAGUAUAUCAAAAAACAACCUCUUUACCUCGGUUGAGGUAAGGUAACUAGCUAAGGUCUGCGUGCAUCCACAUUUUCUGACUCCAAUUAUGGAACUACACUGAGUAUGUUGUUGUUGUUCUUGUAAUAAAUUGUUGUGUUGAGGGUCUAUAGAAAACAACCUCUUUUCCCUGUUUCUUCAACCACUUGUUUAGAUGUUCCAACAGCGGUUAUCUUGAGAAGCUCAAGUGGACAGUCAGCUCGAUUCUCAAGAGCUUGCAUGAGGACUGUCCAGUGAGAUCCAAUCUCACUUCUAAUUCCAAAAUUAAUCAAAUACCUGGGUUCCAGAAUUGCUCAUUUUUCCACACAUACAAUGCUCUUUUCCAUACAUACUUUAUCUUUUUACCUCUUUUCCAAAUUGUAUUCUCGGAUUUGUUGUUUACUUAUACAAUUAAAGUCAUUAUGAAAGAGGUCGUGACAUGUCUCUGAUGAGUUGGCCUCCAUUUCUAGUACACUAGUAUUGAACUAGGAUGAUAAAUCUUGGUCUAAAGUUUAGACAUGAACUGUGAUAAGGGAAUUCCUUGCUUCCAGGGUCACAUGAACAUGCAAAAUCUUCAGUGGUAUGAGGAGCAUUUAAGUAGCGUCAUGCAUGAUAAAUCUUCUUGGCACCGACUUAUCUUGUCUUCUACAUUCUUGGCCAAUAUAGCUUUAGUUCUUCACUUUUUCUUUUCCAUUAUUUUGAUGUUCAUCCAUUAUAUCUGUUGUGUUGCAUAGUUUGCUUAUGUUUAUUAAACUUGUUAAAAUUUUUGUGCAAGUUUCUUGGGCUGCUCGUUUCAUGUGGUUGGCAAUGUUCAUAUUUUAGCUUUGCAUGAAUCAUAAUUUUGGUGAUUUCCUUGUGUUAUGUAGGAUUUUAAUGUAUAGUGAAGAUAAAAGUUGGAUGAAUUGUUUAAUAUGGUCUGAUGAGUUCGAGCGUGGACUGAUGAGUUCGAGCGUGGAGUGAAAUAUUUUCUUGAAAAGGCAUUUGAAUUAGCUCCUCAAGAAAAUGAGAUAUUAUGUCCUUAUAGAGAUUGCAAGAAUCAGUAUUGGUAUUAUAGAGAUGUGGUGGAGGAUCACUUGCUUUCUAG